Molecule: long non-coding RNA, 415 nt
Filed under: Trifolium pratense (red clover)
Lineage: Eukaryota; Viridiplantae; Streptophyta; Magnoliopsida; Fabales; Fabaceae
Description: long non-coding RNA (TPRA_LNC000781)
Source: RNAcentral
CAGCUUCAUUAUUAGAUCUAGAUAUAUUUCCAACAUGGUAUUGGUAUUUCAUAAAAUAAUGAGAGCAAAGAUCAAUUAUCAAGAAUAAAGAAUAGGAACAUAACACAUAUAAUUCAUCACAACAGGCUACCAUAAUCUGCAGAUAGGAAUCCGGAAUCAGUGAACAAAGACAUGGGUUCCAUUUUACGACACAAUCCUAAGGUCAAUUUGAGCAGUGGUGAAUGAAUUGAGGGGAAAUGGUAAAGCAAAAGCACUAGAACUGCUCAUCUCAUUCCAGUAGUGAUAUUAUUCCUAAUAUAUUGCAGUCAGAAAUAAUCUACAAAUUACAUUCAUGGUCUUUCUUAUAUUAGUUAAGGCUUUCUUAUAUUAGUUAAGGUCCUCCUUUUUGAAUUUCAUCCAACUAAUUUUGCAUCUG